CUGUUGGAACAAAUUCUGAAAGUUGAUUAUAAUUUGAAUAGUAAAAAAAUCAAUACUAUACAAAUGCUGAAAUUCACUACUCAAAUGUGAUUCUUUUUAGAAAUAGGUUGGCUAACUUUAGCUAAUUUCCGUCUUCUCAAGUCACGUCUGAUGCACAAUAAGUUACGGGAGUGAGAAACGCAAGGCAUUGUGAGCUAACGUUACGUACCGAGUAACGUUAGUACAGGGGGAGAGACAGGCUGCGGCUGGAAAUCGGAAGAAGGAUGAGAAAUGGUUGACUUU
Long non-coding RNA from Etheostoma spectabile (orangethroat darter), 282 nucleotides. RefSeq lists it as uncharacterized. NCBI's taxonomy places the organism in Eukaryota, Metazoa, Chordata, Actinopteri, Perciformes, Percidae. The record is from RefSeq and is a predicted model, not a curated record. The transcript is spliced from 4 exons.